CCAGGUCAGCCCAUGACACCACAGUCCUAUCUUACAGGUGAGAGCCACCAGGCAUUCUUUAAAGGCAGGGCCCUCUGAGUCUCGUCAAGGAGUCUCAAUCAGGUGGCCUGUUGCUUGAUCUCCUGUGAUAAGCCCAUUUACCAUCCCUGCCCCUCUGAACCUUGUGACCCUUGCCUCAGUGCUCUGGCUGGGCACAUUCAGCUUCUCAAUUUCAUCGACUCCAGGCCAUAUUUAAAUCCAAGCUUCUAGGAGCUGGGCAGGCAGUACAUUAAGAUUCUUCUUGUGUCCUAGCCAAUAAUCUGUUUCCCAAGUAAUAGGCUUGCUCCCAGGUCAAUGAAUUCCUUUCCCAUCCAGAUUUAAAUUCUCAUCUCCCUAGUCCAACACCCUCAAAAUCCAUUUCCGGCAUGCUCUCCCAGGUCCUGCUCAGCCGUCACACUAGGGAUGUCAGGAAGAAGCGUCGUGAGCCAUAAAAGGGCACUCUUUUCCUUUCGGUAAUAUCAGAAAGAACCAUGAAGUUAUCAUGGAGCUGAUCUCUGGAUUCAAGGUCGUCGUCAUGCUGCACUGGUCUAGAUCCCAGCUCUUCAAACUGGUUCUUGGAUCCGUAGCAGCAACAUCAUCUGGGAGACUGCAGAAAAUGCGGAUCAUCCACCCUUGCGGAGACCCAUAGAAUCCGAGGCUGCAUUUUCACAUGGAUUGAGUAACACUGGUCUGGAUGAUCAUUGCUCUCAAACAAUUUUUAAAGCCAGGAAAUCUUUUAUUCAAAGGAAAUCUAAGUGGAAGAAUGCUACAAAGAUACUCAAUGGUGGGAUGCUCUGCUUUUCAGGCCUUAUGACAGGGAAACCUUAGUCCUUCUGAGGUGCCUUUGUCGCCCUCCACAACUUCACCCUGGUUUCUGCCGUCUUGAGUAAGGCAUAAUUGGAAAACCCCUGAUCUAGAGUGUCUUCAGAGUCUCGAAGCUAUACGGACACUAUAAAUGCACAAUGUUUCAUAAUUCAGACCAGCCUUCAAGUUUAUGAGAAGCAGAAUAGCAACCUUUGCCAUGACUAUAGACAUAUUAGUUUGGUGAAAACAUAAUUGCAGUUUCUGCCAUUACUUUUAAAAAACCGCAAUUACUUUUCCACCAACCUAACAGUUUCAUGGUGCCGUCAUGAACUUGUCUGGGCCAGUGGCUACCAAACUCGUCCAAUCAUCACAAUCAUUAGAGAAUGUUCUUUGAAAAAUGAAAAUCCUGUGGAAUCAGAAUUUCCAGGGGAAGUAAGCUGGUAGUCUAUUUAUUUAACAGUCUCCAGGUGAAUUGAAAAGAGUUACAGGAAAUUCAGCUACAACCUUCAAAAGAGCAAUAUCAUCUUUCUCAAGAGAUGCUUUUUGACUUGAGCUACUCAAAUAAAUGCUUCAACUGUAUACCUUUUAGUUAAACCCAGGUUUUUGCUUUAU
Macaca mulatta (Rhesus monkey) is the source of this 1434-nucleotide non-coding RNA. The record is from RefSeq and is a predicted model, not a curated record. NCBI's taxonomy places the organism in Eukaryota, Metazoa, Chordata, Mammalia, Primates, Cercopithecidae.